Molecule: long non-coding RNA, 802 nt
Filed under: Homo sapiens (human)
Lineage: Eukaryota; Metazoa; Chordata; Mammalia; Primates; Hominidae
Description: non-protein coding lnc-ULBP2-2:2
Source: RNAcentral
UGCAGAUCAAGAUGCCCUGAGGGCAAAGAGCAGAGGGGUGCUCUCUGGUGGCCCAGCAGUUCUGCCCCAGGGGAGAGGUUUCUCUUUUACUACCGCGAAAACCCACAGGACGCUGCUUCAUCCCAGAGCCAAGGAUACCAGGAAGGAAGGUCAGAGUGAGGAGGUGUCUGAGUGUUUCAGAUCACACAGUGACAUACUGCUUGAUGGCUUCAGAAAUCCUUCAUGAGCUGGGAGACAGCCCCAGAGGUGACAGCCCCAACCAUCUCGAGGACAACACAUCAGCAGCAGCAGCCACGUAGAUGUUUGUUUCUGUACCUGGAUUCUAAGUGCCUGAAGGACUGGACAUAUCUGGUUUCUAAGUUCCAGGAGGACUGGACACAUCCAUCACCCACGUGUAAACCCAGCACCUAGCACAGUGCCUGCCAUACGAUAGGGUUUAAGACGCAUGGGAGGAAUCUAAUCAUCAGACUACCAAAGGGCUGCUAGAACUCAGAAAGGGAUCCCCAUCAUUUGGGGGAUGGGAUAAAGGUCUUCAUUUCUGUUCUUUCCAGCACCAACCUCCAUGGCUCCACUCAUCCCUGCUCCUUCCUCCUAUUAAGAUUGGCUGGUCAGGAGAGGGGUAGGGGCAGGAGCAGCUAUACCUGGUCUCCUCCACCAUCCACGGUGGGGUGCACUCUUGGUGGGACCUGGUGAGCAUGACAGCACCUGGGCCUAGGGGACCUGGAGCCUCCACAGACCCACAGAGAGCAAGAGGAGCUGUUCAGCCACUUGCAGAGACAGCCAGAGAGUGCUUCAAGGACUG